Molecule: ribosomal RNA, 149 nt
Organism: Vigna angularis (adzuki bean)
Lineage: Eukaryota; Viridiplantae; Streptophyta; Magnoliopsida; Fabales; Fabaceae
Rfam family: Eukaryotic large subunit ribosomal RNA
Source: Rfam
AACCGUUAUCAAGCGUUCAUAGCGACGGUUCUUUUUUAUCUUUCAAUGUCGGCUCUUCCUAUCAUUGUGAAGCAGAAUGCACCAAGUGUUGGAUUGUUCACCCAUCAAUAGGGAACGUGAGCUGGGUUUAGACCGUCGUGAGACAGGUU